RNAcentral lists this transfer RNA (76 nucleotides) under Saccharospirillum salsuginis. RNAcentral's name for it is "tRNA-Glu". It matches the Rfam family "tRNA". From Rfam's summary of the family: Transfer RNA (tRNA) molecules are approximately 80 nucleotides in length. Their secondary structure includes four short double-helical elements and three loops (D, anti-codon, and T loops). RNAcentral also lists the same sequence under 7 other names. Lineage: Bacteria; Pseudomonadati; Pseudomonadota; Gammaproteobacteria; Oceanospirillales; Saccharospirillaceae. The record is from RNAcentral.
GUCCCGUUCGUCUAGUGGCCUAGGACACCGCCCUUUCACGGCGGUAACAGGGGUUCGAGUCCCCUACGGGACGCCA